This is a long non-coding RNA of Hemiscyllium ocellatum (epaulette shark), 258 nucleotides long. RefSeq lists it as uncharacterized. NCBI's taxonomy places the organism in Eukaryota, Metazoa, Chordata, Chondrichthyes, Orectolobiformes, Hemiscylliidae. The record is from RefSeq and is a predicted model, not a curated record. The transcript has 3 exons.
ACAACAGACAUUGGCCUGUGUCCGAUACUCUGGGCAGAGCCCAGUGUUACAGGCAGUGGCAUGUGAUAUGGCCAUUGGUGUCAGACCAUUGUGAAAAAACAACAUAGUACUCAGGUCGCAAAAUCAAUCUGUUCCAAAGCAAAGCCUUAUGCUGUUGUUAAAGAUAUCGCAGCAAAUAACAAGGAUUCUUCAGAUGACCUGUUUUCGACAGAAAAAUUGGAUGGAUGUUGGAAUGGCAACACAUUAGACCUACAUGGA